Molecule: ribosomal RNA, 465 nt
Filed under: uncultured bacterium
Lineage: Bacteria
Description: partial 16S ribosomal RNA
Rfam family: Bacterial small subunit ribosomal RNA
Source: RNAcentral
GACGAACGCUGGCGGCGUGCUUAACACAUGCAAGUCGAACGGAAAGGCCCCUUUGGGGGUACUCGAGUGGCGAACGGGGGAGUAACACGUGAGUAACCUGCCCUUGACUUCGGGGUAAAUUCAGGAAACUGGGGCUAAUACCGGAUAGGAAUCCUUGCUGCAUGGUGGGGGUUGGAAAGCUUCGGCGGUUUUGGAUGGACUCGCGGCGUAUCAGCUUGUUGGUGGGGUAGUGGCUUACCAAGGCUUUGACGGGUAGCCGGCCUGAGAGGGCGACCGGCCACAUUGGGACUUAGAUACGGCCCAGACUCCUACGGGAGGCAGCAGUGGGGAAGAUUGAACAAUGGGCGGAAGCCUGAUGCAGCAACGCCGCGUGCUGGAUGACGGUCUUCGGGUUGUAAACCGCUUUCAGCAGGGGCGAAGCUUGUGGUGACGGUACCUGCAGAAGAAGCACCGGCUAACUACGUG